UACGUAGGGGGCUAGCGUUGUCCGGAAUCAUUGGGCGUAAAGCGCGUGUAGGCGGCCAGGUAGGUCUGCUGUGAAAACUCGAGGCUCAACCUCGAGACGUCGGCGGAAACCAUCUGGCUAGAGUCCGGAAGAGGAGAGUGGAAUUCCUGGUGUAGCGGUGAAAUGCGUAGAUAUCGAGAGGAACACCUGCGGCGAAGGCGGGUUGCUGGGCUGACACUGACGCUGAUGCGCGAAAGCUAGGGGAGCGAACGGG
This 253-nucleotide ribosomal RNA is filed under the name uncultured bacterium. RNAcentral's name for it is "partial 16S ribosomal RNA". It matches the Rfam family "Bacterial small subunit ribosomal RNA", at positions 524 to 776 of the family's 1533-position model. The record is from RNAcentral.